RNAcentral lists this Y RNA (105 nucleotides) under Callithrix jacchus (white-tufted-ear marmoset). Its description in RNAcentral is "Y RNA (ENSCJAG00000086235.1)". It matches the Rfam family "Y RNA". Rfam says of the family: Y RNAs are components of the Ro ribonucleoprotein particle (Ro RNP), in association with Ro60 and La proteins. The Y RNAs and Ro60 and La proteins are well conserved, but the function of the Ro RNP is not known. In humans the RNA component can be one of four small RNAs -- hY1, hY3, hY4 and hY5. The record is from Rfam by way of RNAcentral. Lineage: Eukaryota; Metazoa; Chordata; Mammalia; Primates; Cebidae.
GGCUGGUCCGAGUGCAGUGGUGUUUACAACUAAUUGAUCACACCAGUUACAGAUUUCUUUGUUCCUUCUCCACUCACUCCCACUGCUUCACUUGACUGGCCUUAA